RNAcentral lists this transfer RNA (74 nucleotides) under Ictidomys tridecemlineatus (thirteen-lined ground squirrel). RNAcentral describes it as "Spermophilus tridecemlineatus (thirteen-lined ground squirrel) tRNA". It matches the Rfam family "tRNA". Rfam says of the family: Transfer RNA (tRNA) molecules are approximately 80 nucleotides in length. Their secondary structure includes four short double-helical elements and three loops (D, anti-codon, and T loops). Further hydrogen bonds mediate the characteristic L-shaped molecular structure. tRNAs have two regions of fundamental functional importance: the anti-codon, which is responsible for specific mRNA codon recognition, and the 3' end, to which the tRNAs corresponding amino acid is attached (by aminoacyl-tRNA synthetases). tRNAs cope with the degeneracy of the genetic code in two manners: having more than one tRNA (with a specific anti-codon) for a particular amino acid; and 'wobble' base-pairing, i.e. permitting non-standard base-pairing at the 3rd anti-codon position. Lineage: Eukaryota; Metazoa; Chordata; Mammalia; Rodentia; Sciuridae. The record is from Rfam by way of RNAcentral.
GGCAGUAUAGUUCAGUGGUGGAGUGCUUGCCUAGCAUACGUGAGAGACCUUGGGUUUGAUUCUCAGCACUGCCA